This 253-nucleotide ribosomal RNA is filed under the name uncultured bacterium. RNAcentral describes it as "partial 16S ribosomal RNA". It matches the Rfam family "Bacterial small subunit ribosomal RNA", at positions 524 to 776 of the family's 1533-position model. The record is from RNAcentral.
UACGGGGGGAGCAACCGUUGUUCGGAAUUACUGGGCGUAAAGGGCGCGUAGGCGGUCCUGUAAGUGGUGUGUGAAAUCCGAUGGCUCAACCAUCGAGCUGCGCUCCAUACUGCAGGACUUGAGUACAGCAGAGGAAAGUGGAAUUCCCGGUGUAGCGGUGAAAUGCGCAGAUAUCAGGAGGAACACCGGUGGCGAAGGCGCUCUGCUAGGCCGCAACUGACACUGAGGGACGAAAGCUAGGGGAGCGAAUGGG